UACGGAGGGUGCGAGCGUUGUCCGGAUUCACUGGGCGUAAAGGGCGCGUAGGCGGUUUAGUCAGUCGGGCGUGAAAGGGCGAGGCUUAACCUCGUCUUGGCGUCCGGGACGGCUGAACUGGAGGGCGGUCGAGGGGUGUGGAAGUCCGGGUGUAGUGGUGAAAUGCGUAGAUAUCCGGAGGAACACCAGUGGUGAAGGCGGCACCCUAGGCCGAGCCUGACGCUGAGGCGCGAGAGCGUGGGGAGCGAACCGG
Molecule: unclassified non-coding RNA, 253 nt
Filed under: uncultured bacterium
Lineage: Bacteria
Description: contains 16S-23S intergenic spacer region
Rfam family: Bacterial small subunit ribosomal RNA
Source: RNAcentral